This 423-nucleotide ribosomal RNA is filed under the name uncultured bacterium. RNAcentral describes it as "partial 16S ribosomal RNA". It matches the Rfam family "Bacterial small subunit ribosomal RNA", at positions 360 to 774 of the family's 1533-position model. The record is from RNAcentral.
AAUCUUCCGCAAUGGACGAAAGUCUGACGGAGCGAUGCCGCGUGAGUGAUGAAGGUCUUCGGAUCGUAAAACUCUGUUGCUAGGGAAGAACAAGUAUCGGAGUAAUAUGCCGGUACCUUUACGGUACCUAACCAGAAAGCCCCGGCUAACUACGUUCCCGCCGCCGCGGGAACACGCAGGGGGCAAGCGUUUUCCGGAAUUAUUGGGCGUAAAGGGCAAGCAGGGGGUUAUUUAAGUCUGAUGUGAAAUCUUGUGGCUUAACCACAAGCGGUCAUUGGAAACUGGAUAACUUGAGUACAGAAGAGGAGAGUGGAAUUCCACGUGUAGCGGUGAAAUGCGUAAAGAUGUGGAGGAACACCAGUGGCGAAGGCGGCUCUCUGGUCUGUAACUGACGCUGAGGUGCGAAAGCGUGGGUAGCGAACA